AUUGAACGCUGGCGGAAUGCUUUACACAUGCAAGUCGAGCGGCAGCGCGGGGCAACCUGGCGGCGAGCGGCGAACGGGUGAGUAACAUAUCGGAACAUACCCAGUCGUGGGGGAUAACACAGCGAAAGUUGUGCUAAUACCGCAUACGUCCUGAGGGAGAAAGCGGGGGAUCGCAAGACCUCGCGCGAUUGGAGUGGCCGAUAUCGGAUUAGCUAGUUGGUGAGGUAAAGGCUCACCAAGGCGACGAUCCGUAGCUGGUCUGAGAGGACGACCAGCCACACUGGAACUGAGACACGGUCCAGACUCCUACGGAGGCAGCAGUGGGGAAUUUUGGGACAAUGGGCGCAAGCCUGAUCCAGCCAUUCCGCGUGAGUGAAGAAGGCC
Molecule: ribosomal RNA, 384 nt
Filed under: uncultured bacterium
Lineage: Bacteria
Description: bacterial SSU rRNA
Rfam family: Bacterial small subunit ribosomal RNA
Source: RNAcentral